RNAcentral lists this ribosomal RNA (253 nucleotides) under uncultured bacterium. RNAcentral describes it as "partial 16S ribosomal RNA". It matches the Rfam family "Bacterial small subunit ribosomal RNA", at positions 524 to 776 of the family's 1533-position model. The record is from RNAcentral.
UACGAAGGGGGCUAGCGUUGUUCGGAAUUACUGGGCGUAAAGCGCACGUAGGCGGAUCGAUCAGUCAGGGGUGAAAUCCCGGAGCUCAACUCCGGAACUGCCUUUAAGACUGCAUCGCUAGAAUCAUGGAGAGGUGAGUGGAAUUCCGAGUGUAGAGGUGAAAUUCGUAGAUAUUCGGAAGAACACCAGUGGCGAAGGCGACUCACUGGACAUGUAUUGACGCUGAGGUGCGAAAGCGUGGGGAGCAAACAGG